Non-coding RNA from Mycena latifolia, 90 nucleotides. The record is from the annotation of a GenBank genome assembly. Lineage: Eukaryota; Fungi; Basidiomycota; Agaricomycetes; Agaricales; Mycenaceae.
GGUCUAGUAGUGUAAUGGUAGCACACCUGCACUCUAUGAGUCAGGAGGAACAUUUAACAGGAACUCCUUGUUCGACUCGAGGCUAGGCCA